RNAcentral lists this transfer RNA (54 nucleotides) under Globodera ellingtonae. RNAcentral's name for it is "tRNA-Gly". The record is from RNAcentral. Lineage: Eukaryota; Metazoa; Nematoda; Chromadorea; Rhabditida; Heteroderidae.
AAUUUUUUAUUUUAAUGAGAAUUCUUUUUUUCCAAAGAAGAGGUUAUGAAAUUA